GACGCGGCAGACAGCCGUACAAUAUGAAA
Molecule: small RNA, 29 nt
Filed under: Bombyx mori (domestic silkworm)
Lineage: Eukaryota; Metazoa; Arthropoda; Insecta; Lepidoptera; Bombycidae
Description: ovarian small RNA-15568
Source: RNAcentral